AUUGAACGCUGGCGGCAGGCCUAACACAUGCAAGUCGAGCGGAUGAAGGGAGCUUGCUCCUGGAUUCAGCGGCGGACGGGUGAGUAAUGCCUAGGAAUCUGCCUGGUAGUGGGGGAUAACGUCCGGAAACGGGCGCUAAUACCGCAUACGUCCUGAGGGAGAAAGUGGGGGAUCUUCGGACCUCACGCUAUCAGAUGAGCCUAGGUCGGAUUAGCUAGUUGGUGGGGUAAAGGCCUACCAAGGCGACGAUCCGUAACUGGUCUGAGAGGAUGAUCAGUCACACUGGAACUGAGACACGGCCCAGACUCCUACGGGAGGCAGCAGUGGGGAAUAUUGGACAAUGGGCGAAAGCCUGAUCCAGCCAUGCCGCGUGUGUGAAGAAGGUCCUCGGAUUGUAAAGCACUUUAAGUUGGGAGGAAGGGCAGUAAGUUAAUACCUUGCUGUUUUGACGUUACCAACAGAAUAAGCACCGGCUAACUUCGUG
RNAcentral lists this ribosomal RNA (484 nucleotides) under uncultured bacterium. RNAcentral describes it as "partial 16S ribosomal RNA". It matches the Rfam family "Bacterial small subunit ribosomal RNA", at positions 30 to 507 of the family's 1533-position model. The record is from RNAcentral.